CAGAAAAUAGUUUAUUUAAAAUAUUAAUUUUGGGGAUUAAUGAUGAGUUUUUAUUCUUUUCUGA
RNAcentral lists this transfer RNA (64 nucleotides) under Stictochironomus akizukii. RNAcentral describes it as "tRNA-Pro". The record is from RNAcentral. RNAcentral also lists the same sequence under 1 other name. Lineage: Eukaryota; Metazoa; Arthropoda; Insecta; Diptera; Chironomidae.